CCACCACUAAGCCAGUGGUGAACUCCACAUACGCAUCCUUUGCUGAGGAUACGGUUAACGGAGCGAAAGCGACGUUCAACCGCAAAAGAAGCAGAGGGGGCUUAGUGGUGGGGUGACUGCGUACCUUUUGUAUAAUGGGUCAGCGACUUAUAUUCUGUAGCAAGGUUAACCGAAUAGGGGAGCCGGAGGGAAACCGAGUCUUAACCGGGCGUUAAGUUGCAGGGUAUAGACCCGAAACCCGGUGAUCUAGCCAUGGGCAGGUUGAAGGUUGGGUAACACUAACUGGAGGACCGAACCGACUAAUGUUGAAAAAUUAGCGGAUGACCUGUGGCUGGGGGUGAAAGGCCAAUCAAACCGGGAGAUAGCUGGUUCUCCCCGAAAGCUAUUUAGGUAGCGCCUCGUGAAUUCAUCUCCGGGGGUAGAGCACUGUUUCGGCUAGGGGGCCAUCCCGGCUUACCAACCCGAUGCAAACUGCGAAUACCGGAGAAUGUUAUCACGGGAGACACACGGCGGGUGCUAACGUCCGUCGUGAAGAGGGAAACAACCCAGACCGCCAGCUAAGGUCCCAAAGUCAUGGUUAAGUGGGAAACGAUGUGGGAAGGCCCAGACAGCCAGGAUGUUGGCUUAGAAGCAGCCAUCAUUUAAAGAAAGCGUAAUAGCUCACUGGUCGAGUCGGCCUGCGCGGAAGAUGUAACGGGGCUAAACCAUGCACCGAAGCUGCGGCAGCGACACUAUGUGUUGUUGGGUAGGGGAGCG
This 756-nucleotide ribosomal RNA is filed under the name Salmonella enterica. RNAcentral describes it as "partial 23S ribosomal RNA". It matches the Rfam family "Bacterial large subunit ribosomal RNA", at positions 1 to 1238 of the family's 2925-position model. Lineage: Bacteria; Pseudomonadati; Pseudomonadota; Gammaproteobacteria; Enterobacterales; Enterobacteriaceae. The record is from RNAcentral.